AUUGAACGCUGGCGGCAUGCCUUACACAUGCAAGUCGAACGGCAGCACGGGUGCUUGCACCUGGUGGCGAGUGGCGAACGGGUGAGUAAUACAUCGGAACAUGUCCUGUAGUGGGGGAUAGCCCGGCGAAAGCCGGAUUAAUACCGCAUACGAUCUACGGAUGAAAGCGGGGGACCUUCGGGCCUCGCGCUAUAGGGUUGGCCGAUGGCUGAUUAGCUAGUUGGUGGGGUAAAGGCCUACCAAGGCGACGAUCAGUAGCUGGUCUGAGAGGACGACCAGCCACACUGGGACUGAGACACGGCCCAGACUCCUACGGGAGGCAGCAGUGAGGAAUUUUGGACAAUGGGCGAAAGCCUGAUCCAGCAAUGCCGCGUGUGUGAAGAAGGCCUUCGGGUUGUAAAGCACUUUUGUCCGGAAAGAAAUCCUUGGCUCUAAUACAGUCGGGGGAUGACGGUACCGGAAGAAUAAGCACCGGCUAACUACGUG
This 486-nucleotide ribosomal RNA is filed under the name uncultured bacterium. Its description in RNAcentral is "partial 16S ribosomal RNA". It matches the Rfam family "Bacterial small subunit ribosomal RNA", at positions 30 to 507 of the family's 1533-position model. The record is from RNAcentral.